UCUUGGCUAAGGUGUCUUGGCUAAUGUGUCUUGGCUAAUGUGUCUUGGCUAAUGUGGCUUUUCUAAUGUGUCUUGGGUAAUGUGUCUCGGCUAAUGUGUCUUGGCUAAGGUGUCUUGGCUAAUGUGUCUUGGCUAAGGUGUCUUGGCUAAUGUGUUUUGGCUAAGGUGUCUUGGCUAAUGUGUCUUGGCUAAUGUGUCUUGGCUAAUGUGUUUCGGCUAAGGUGUCUUGGCUAAUGUGUCUUGGGUAAUGUGUCUCGGCUAAUGUGUCUUGGCUAAGGUGUCUUGGCUAAGGUGUCUCGGCUAAUGUGUCUUGGCUAAUGUGUCUUGGGUAAUGUGUCUCGGCUAAUGUGUCUUGACUAAUGUGUCUUGACUAAGGUGUCUUGGCUAAUGUGUCUUGGCUAAGGUGUCUUGGCUAAUGCGUCUUGGCUAAGGUGUCUUGGCUAAGUUGUCUUGGCUAAGGUGUCUUGGCUAAUGUGUCUUGGCUAAUGUGUCUU
Long non-coding RNA from Anopheles funestus (African malaria mosquito), 494 nucleotides. RefSeq lists it as uncharacterized. NCBI's taxonomy places the organism in Eukaryota, Metazoa, Arthropoda, Insecta, Diptera, Culicidae. The transcript is spliced from 3 exons. The record is from RefSeq and is a predicted model, not a curated record.